This is a long non-coding RNA of Acanthaster planci (crown-of-thorns starfish), 437 nucleotides long. The record is from RefSeq and is a predicted model, not a curated record. NCBI's taxonomy places the organism in Eukaryota, Metazoa, Echinodermata, Asteroidea, Valvatida, Acanthasteridae.
CGUACGUAUCCGCAUGUGCGUGCAUGUGGUAGCCAUGUUGCAUUGAGACAGGAUUUGCGAGUGCAUGGGAAUAAUUCUGUUAGUACAUGUAACACAUGAGGAAGUCAGAGUAAGAGAAGAUGAUGGAGCAAGUACAGGCUGAUGUGUAGGCAGCAUCACCGGAGAGAGCAGAACCUGAUAGCUUGGAUGAGUUCAGCCACAUAGAGAAUGAUGAAGAUGACUCUGACGUUAGCCGUAGCACAGACAGUGAAAUUAGAAGCAAGCACAGAAGAAAUUCAAGUUCCAGUGAGGACUCCGGUGACAGCGACCCUGACAGUGAUGAGGAACAAGGACAGUGGAUGAAGAAACCAGCAGGUAGAAAAGCUGUCACAUUGCAGUCAUGUUUGCCAUCUGCUUAGAAAUCAAUUUAUGCUGGUACAUUUGGCCGUGGCACUUCU